Diabrotica virgifera virgifera (western corn rootworm) is the source of this 996-nucleotide long non-coding RNA. RefSeq lists it as uncharacterized. The record is from RefSeq and is a predicted model, not a curated record. The transcript has 2 exons. Lineage: Eukaryota; Metazoa; Arthropoda; Insecta; Coleoptera; Chrysomelidae.
UGCAGCGGGACUCCGUGCACUUUCGUUUCAAGCGAUGCGAUCGCAUUUAUGCAAAUUAGCAGAGUAUAGACGUAGUAGAAGAGGUGUUCCCAAAUUCCCAACAGACUACUAAAUUCCACACGGACGUAAGCAGUGAUUGGUCGUUAUCAUCUGAUUUUGACAUAGAUAGACAUAUGGAUUUUGAUGAAUUUUUGUGGUUAUGUAAGUAUAUUUUUUGUCUGUCUGAUUGACACUUUCUUGUUUCUUGUUUUUGAAAAAUUUGUUCAAUAAUGGAAAUAUGAAGACGUGGAAAGAUAUGCAGAAAGUUGAGACAAGUUAUGUAAGGUCUAGAACAGUUCACACAAAGAAACAAGAUGAUUUAUACUAUGAGUAUAGUUUUUAAUCAAUUUCAUGCUAUGAGUGUAACAGAAAUAACAUAAUAUACAAGGAGUAUAGAUGCUAGGAGAGUAUAUUAUAUUCAUUGAUGUGGAUAUAAGCCCAACUAUAAAAUAAUUAGGACAGAGAAACCUGUUCCAUUCAUUGUCCCUCCAGACUGAUUUGCAAACUGUGAGAUCAAGGACAGCUUUCUAUCAGUUAUGUAUUGGAAAACACAUGCUGGACAUGCUGAACCAUGCAUCUGUAAAAACUACAAGAAAAAAUGGUUGUAGAGAAAUUAAUGAGGUGCCACCCAAUAAAAUUUCAUGAGAUUCAAGAAUGUGAAGAUACAUGAGCAAUUUCAGGUAGGGAUCCUAUUAAAUUACAUAAUGUAACUUUAACACAGGUAUAUGAAAGUGAGUGUAAGGCAGUGGUCUCCAAUAAACACUGUACACGGCCUAAGGCAUCUAUUGGAUACCACCAGUUAAGUCGGUGGCUACUACAAAUUACUCUGUAAUUUGAAUUUGUUUUAGAAUUACUCUUUUCUGUAACUCUUUUCGGUUGUAAGAUAGUUUUCUGUCCUUCAAAGUUUAUUAAAAGAACGAAAAUGAACAAUUUUCCUACAGCGUGACAUACGCAGCC